AAGAAACAACAAGAAAAGAAAUGAACUAAAAACGAAAAUAAAGAGGGAUCCAGAAAUUCCGUCUAUCUUCUUUAGCAAUGAACACCAUCUGCGGGCUGCAUUAACACGCUGAUAUAAGUCAAAUUCUCAAGAACUUGGGGGACUUCCAUACCGGCGAUUCACAGGUCUCACAAAUGACAUGGAGUCGACUCAGUGAAGAGUUCUUCAGCUCAAAGAAGGACAUGAACUCAACAAAAGAGAUACAGCCUUCAAAUUUGAUCAGUGUCUAAUCGAAAAAUGGAUUCGAUAUCAAAUCCUAGUUCUUAAAGCUUUGCAGACUGAGUUCAACGAGCUAAAACCACUGCAAGAGAUCUUGGAUCCAAGGUUCAACAUUUGUUGCAGAUGUCUCUAGCACCCCUUGAUGUGAUACUAUAGAGUGUAAGGAUUGUAAAGGAACUGAUCUUUGACCUACUGAGUUUAUAGGAUCCAUUGCACUUAUACUUGGAAUAACCUCUAGCUGCAAAUAAAAAGCAUUUGGAGGGUAUCUUCUUUCAGUAGAUGGUACAAUAUUCAAUGGUUCUUGAUAAGAGGCAUUAGCCAAUUCAUUCAAGAGUACCAACUCCUUCUUCUGAUCUUCAUGCAUUACUAAGGGACCGACGUUGCUCCACAUUCACCUCCACAUGGCUAGUUGAGUUCGUUGAAGGCUACUAUUUUGGUGAGUUACCAUGUUUCAGGAAUAAUAUUUCUUUCCUCUUUUAGCUUAUUUUAUGUAAAGACUUAUGGAUACAUUUCAUAGUACUUAUUUCUAUUUAAAUUGAGGGUGAGCUAGGGACAUGUCUUAGCCCCCGCCAAGUCUUUUAGUAGAGGUAUAUUUGGAGAUGAAUGAAUAAUGUUCUAAGUUGGACAUUGACUCU
This is a long non-coding RNA of Solanum dulcamara, 893 nucleotides long. RefSeq lists it as uncharacterized. NCBI's taxonomy places the organism in Eukaryota, Viridiplantae, Streptophyta, Magnoliopsida, Solanales, Solanaceae. The record is from RefSeq and is a predicted model, not a curated record. The transcript has 3 exons.